GCCAAGGAGUCUCUGCUCCUUCUUUUGGGGCUCUUAAGGCUUUGUGUCCGCCCCAACCCUUGUUGGUUCUCACCCAUCCUGGGCAGCAGGCAUUCAGGAGGAUCUUGUCCCCUUCUCUCUGCUCACUCAGUUUCCUGGCGUGGAUUCUGGACAGGACUGUGACUCCGAUUUUCAACACUCCAUAUGCGGUAUCGGGCCAGCCCUCCUUCCUGUGCACCCCGUUCUUUGUGUCUUCCACAAACUUGUUCAUGAGCCCCACCAGCUCCUCCUCCGUGAUGGUCUCACUUUGAAACUUCUGCUGCAGUUCAGGGCUGCAUUUCUUUAGAGAGUUGACACUGACAAAGCUGGAUACAUUCACCACUCUGCCUAAAAUAGAGCACAAAUCAGUACAUAGAAAGGCGAGCACGAGAAGGAUGAUACCCAAUUGGGGACAGGACUGACCUCUUGAAAGAGGACAUUAGGGAAGGAAGGGAAUGUAUUUUGGGAGGGGGUUCCUCAAUGAGUUUUAUCUUUUUUAUUAUUAUAAGUAACAACAUGUUACUUCUAAUGUUUUUAAAAAUUAAGCUACAUCUAAUUAUUUUAGAAAUUACCAGAAUGAACUAUUUCACUCAAACUCAAUAAAGAAGUCAUGACCAGAGGAAGAAGUCUGUGAACCUAUUACCCAGCAUGACUUGUGAAAAGUAUUUUCAAAACUGAACUAUUUAAAAUCUCUGGAAAUGGUCCUGAGUGUGUGCAGCAAAUGAAGAAACAUUUUUUUCCAGACUAUCUCCAAAAACUCAGGUGAGAACAGAAAGAAUCUAUUUCAACCAUGACUGCUCCUUCCUUUCCUCCUUUCUGACCGUAGCAAUGGAAACUUCACUCUGGGAUGGUGCAUCUGAGACGCAGGACUCCCUCCCUGCCAAGGGGCUGUGGCAUCUUCCCACCAUGCGGAUGACAUCACAUUUCUCAUCCUGUUCCUCAGCUACCUGCUGCAGAGGUUCAGUUCCUGCACUUCAUGUACAUGGCUGAAAUAUCAGAGAGGAAACGCUUCCACAACCAGAAGAGGCAGAAAAUGCUUUCCAAGAGUUCACUGAAUCCUGAAGCAUGGAAUUAUGCUACAGGAAUGAACAAACUUAUUUCCCAUUGGCAGAAACGUAUUGAUUGUAGCGGUUCCUAUUUUGAUGAAUAAAGAUGUGUUUGAACCUGUCAACUAAAAAA
This is a long non-coding RNA of Bubalus bubalis (water buffalo), 1197 nucleotides long. RefSeq lists it as uncharacterized. The transcript is spliced from 2 exons. NCBI's taxonomy places the organism in Eukaryota, Metazoa, Chordata, Mammalia, Artiodactyla, Bovidae. The record is from RefSeq and is a predicted model, not a curated record.